Pyrus x bretschneideri (Chinese white pear) is the source of this 984-nucleotide long non-coding RNA. RefSeq lists it as uncharacterized. The transcript has 2 exons. Lineage: Eukaryota; Viridiplantae; Streptophyta; Magnoliopsida; Rosales; Rosaceae. The record is from RefSeq and is a predicted model, not a curated record.
UACAUAUUCAUGCUAAGGCUCAAGCAUCGCCCUAGCAAACAUAAAUUAGUUACGAACAAUCAUAAAACAAAAUAUUAUCAAAACCAUGGAUAGAAAACACCUUGAAAAUAAACUUGAAUUGUCGAAAGCAAUUCUCCAACUAGUGCGUGUGUUCUCCCUAGGGCUGGCCAAAAAGGCUUAUUUAUACUAUUCUAAAUAAAAUCCUUCUAGUAAAAGGUCUUAGAAUAAGACUAGGAAACUAAAUAAAUUGAAAUAAAAUAAGAAACAUAAUCUUAAAUUGACUUGAUAAAUUCGCCUAGAAAUUUAUAUAGCCUCGUUUUGGAUCCAAAUCAGCUUCAAAACUGACCCAAUAUAGCUGGAUUUAAAGCUUGGACUAUUCUGAACACUUUUCCAGAAGGCCACGAACCCAUCUGGGUUCAUCUUGGGCUCCAAAAUCACAGUUUAAGCCCAGAAACGUCACUUUCCAACAACUCGUACUGCUCCUUUAUUAAAUCAUUAGAAAAUAACCGUUUGGUAGAAAAAUCCAAAAUUUUGAUAUGAAUAAACCAAGAGACACACGAACGUCUGCCAAUUCGAAUCAAUCCAAAAUUCGUCAGUUUCAUCAUAUUUUUCUCCAGAGGAAGUCGAAUGUUUUUUGAAAAUAUAAAGCAAAAUAUCAAAAUUCUACCAAAAUAAUUACCAAAUUAUACUAAGAGUAGGGUAAAAUAUAUAAUAUAAUAUUGACUCAUCAAUCUCUCUCGUUCUCCAGGUCGCGUUCUCUCGACUCGGCAACCUUCCUCUGGUUGCAGCUGUAUAUUCAAUAUGAACACCUCUGAUGAUGAUGAUGAUGAGGAGGAUUUGAAGGAUAGACUAAUUAUAUGUGUUGUAGCGAGAGUUGUUAAAACAUAUUAUUUAUUUAAAAUAUGUCACAAAACUCCGUGUAUGAAUUUUUCCCAAACAUGUAAUAUUUGAUUAAUAGAAGUACUACAAGGGAAUUACAUGCAA